GCUAGAGAUGAUUCAUUGCCAUCUUAGGAUGACCCAAAGCAUACAAAAUGUUCAGCAUUGCUGGAGUGAGUGUGCGCUUCACUUCUGCAUGCCAAGAACUGUUACGUUGUUACAAUAUUCAUUUUGCAGCAGGUGACAGGUAACAGGUGGAAGUGACGAGUUCCAUGUCCCUUGUGUCCUGGUCCAGAAGCAGAGGUCACCUAGGAUUCCUUCUGACUUCCAAAGCUGCAAAUGGACUACAUUGGCAGGUAAGGACAUUCAUUGCUUUCUGCCUGCCUUUCUCAACUCCCUUGCUGAUGCUGCUGAACCACCAGUGAAGGCUUUCUCUGGCCAUUGUCUCUUCUUUUGUCACGAGCAGGGAGCUGGAUGGGAAGUGGAGCAGCUGGGACACAAACCGGCCACACACAAAUCGGAGGCCAUAUGAGAUCCCAGGUACAUGCAAGGCGA
This is a long non-coding RNA of Ochotona princeps (American pika), 447 nucleotides long. RefSeq lists it as uncharacterized. Lineage: Eukaryota; Metazoa; Chordata; Mammalia; Lagomorpha; Ochotonidae. The record is from RefSeq and is a predicted model, not a curated record. The transcript is spliced from 4 exons.